CCUACGGGGUGCAGCAGUGAGGAAUAUUGGUCAAUGGGCGCGAGCCUGAACCAGCCAAGUAGCGUGAAGGAUGACUGCCCUACGGGUUGUAAACCUCUUUUAUAAAGGAAUAAAGUGAGGCACGUGUGCCUUUUUGUAUGUACUUUAUGAAUAAGGAUCGGCUAACUCCGUGCCAGCAGCCGCGGUGAUACGGAGGAUCCGCGCGUUAUCCGGAUUUAUUGGGGUUAAAGGGAGCGUAGAUGGGUUGUUAAGUCAGUUGUGAAAGUUUGCGGAUCAACCGUAAAAUUGCAAGUGAAACUGGAAGUCUUGAGGACAGUUGAGGUAGGCGGAAUUCGUGGUGUAGCGGUGAAAUGCUUAGAUAGCACGAAGAACUCCGAUUGCGAAGGCAGCUUACUAAACUGCCACUGACAUUGAUGCUCGAAAGUGUGGGUAUCAAACAGGAUUAGAUACCCUGGUAGUC
This 460-nucleotide ribosomal RNA is filed under the name uncultured bacterium. Its description in RNAcentral is "partial 16S ribosomal RNA". It matches the Rfam family "Bacterial small subunit ribosomal RNA", at positions 338 to 795 of the family's 1533-position model. The record is from RNAcentral.